This 425-nucleotide ribosomal RNA is filed under the name uncultured prokaryote. RNAcentral describes it as "bacterial SSU rRNA". It matches the Rfam family "Bacterial small subunit ribosomal RNA", at positions 355 to 774 of the family's 1533-position model. The record is from RNAcentral.
UGGGGAAUCAUGGUCAAUGGGCGAAAGCCUGAACCUGCGACGCCGCGUGAGUGAUGAAGGUCGUAAGAUCGUAAAACUCUUUUCAGGGAUCUUAAAGCACAACCGUCAACAACGGCUGUGUGUGACUCUCCCUGGAAGAAGCCCCAGCCAACUACGUGCCAGCAGCUGCGGUAAUACGUAGGGGGCGAGCGUUAUUCGGAAUUACUGGGUGUAAAGGGUAUGUAGGCGGCCCUUCAAGUCGCGUGUCAAAGUCCAGUGCUCAACGCUGGGUGUGCGCGCGAUACUGACGGGCUUGAGGGCUGGAGAGGUGAGCGGAAUUCCCUGUGUAGUGGUAAAAUACGUAGAGAUCGGGAGGAACACCAGCGGCGCAUGCGUCUCAAUAGACAGUUUCUGACGCUAAGACACGAAAGCGUGGGGAGCAAACA